UUAUGGCGCGUAAGGAUAUCAUGCGAAUUUGUGUAUUUUUUUGGACUCUCCCUCUUCACGACUCUAUGACUCUCUCCUCUCGUUUCGGGACUGUUUCUCACACUUCUCUCACUCUCUCUCAAUCUCUCCCAUCUUCACGAAGAAUAGGUAACCUCAUUUCCCUUCACCUUUCUCCCUUCUCCCUUCACCGACGACUGUCUCUCAUUCCACGCCGCCAACACCAGUUCAUACAUUGGACGAUAUCUUCAAAUCUUGAGUUGAAUCUCCAUUGGAUGGCAGCUCAAAUUUUUAAUUUGAGCUUUCAUUUAAUUUUUUGAUUCAGAAUUUGAUCUUAAACAAAAUGCUAGAUCUUGACUGAGUGAAACUCUGCCCCAACGACUGAGAAGCAUCGACACAGGAGGCUAAAUGCUCAUUGUUCUUUGGCCGUGUUUAGGUAUAAUUAGCUGCCAUUGCUCAUCCUUUUUUUUUCAGUUUCCUUUGAUGUAGGGUUUUAAAUGUCUAUUUAUCCACGCCCAAAUAUUUCCUAACGAAUGCAUAUUUCAGGUUCAUUUGCUUUACUUUUUUCAACCCGUGUUUCUUAACCUUGACUCUAUUUGUUUGUAAGAUCCAUGCUUGUUCC
This is a non-coding RNA of Nelumbo nucifera (sacred lotus), 619 nucleotides long. Lineage: Eukaryota; Viridiplantae; Streptophyta; Magnoliopsida; Proteales; Nelumbonaceae. The record is from RefSeq and is a predicted model, not a curated record.